RNAcentral lists this ribosomal RNA (514 nucleotides) under Thermoleophilia bacterium. Its description in RNAcentral is "bacterial SSU rRNA". It matches the Rfam family "Bacterial small subunit ribosomal RNA", at positions 220 to 726 of the family's 1533-position model. Lineage: Bacteria; Bacillati; Actinomycetota; Thermoleophilia. The record is from RNAcentral.
UUGGGAGGAGCUCGCGGCCCAUUAGCUUGUUGGUGAGGUAACGGCUCACCAAGGCGACGAUGGGUAGCUGGUCUGAGAGGACGAUCAGCCACACUGGGACUGAGACACGGCCCAGACUCCUACGGGAGGCAGCAGUGGGGAAUCUUGCGCAAUGCGCGAAAGCGUGACGCAGCAACGCCGCGUGGGGGAAGACGGCCUUAGGGUUGUAAACCCCUUUCAGGAGGGACGAAGGUUCACCGGUUAAUAGCCGUGUGGAUUGACGGUACCUCCACAAGAAGCACCGGCUAACUACGUGCCAGCAGCCGCGGUAAUACGUAGGGUGCAAGCGUUGUCCGGAAUCAUUGGGCGUAAAGCGCGCGUAGGUGGCCAUUUAAGUCCGCUGUGAAAGUCAAAGGCUCAACCUUUGAAAGCCGGUGGAUACUGGAUGGCUAGAGUACGGAAGAGGCGAGUGGAAUUCCUGGUGUAGCGGUGGAAUGCGCAGAUAUCAGGAGGAACACCAAUAGCGAAGGCAGCU